GAUUGGAGCUUAACUCUGUAGGACGUUGGUCCUCCAGGAGCAGGACCAGACACCCCUGCUGUAGAAUUGAGCUGAUUUUGUAUCUUUAGCUAACCAAAUACUCAUGGAGAAGAGCACAUUUUCUUUAUAGAGAUAUAAUACAUUUAUAGCAAGAUCUUUCUGCUUUGUUCCUUAGUGGACAGAAGGGCUUAGUGAUUUCAGCCUGGACACAAAUUAAACAAUUAACCAGAGAUUCACAACCAUCGGGGGCUGCUUUGUCUUCCUGUUUGCCAUUUUGUCCUAUUGGGAAACAAACAAGUAGGAGAAAGAUCCAAUUACCUUCUUCAAGAGGAGAGGCAAUUCUCUUUAACGUGAUUGUCUCAGAUCUGCCACAUUAGGUUCCUGCACUUAUACAAAAGCGAUACAAGACAACACAUCUGAUACAGGAAUGGAAAUCCAACCCUUGUCAUGAUAAAACAAUGCAGUUUUGCGAUGGAGAUUUGUUCAGCCAGACGGCGCCAUGAUGGGUGUGCUGGAGUGUGAUAAUUCAAGAGCUGCAGGGGAGGACUGUGAUUUAUGGGAUAUCCUUUAUGCGUUACAAAAUGUGUUCUUUCGAAAGCCCACCCCCAACAAUUCAUAUGAGUCAUUUCCCUAAUUGAUAGUUGCCUGGAAACUCUAUGAGAGGGGCUGAAAAAGACUAAUAAUGUACAAAAUAUAGUGUGUGUUGAUCAAGACCAGUAAAACGAAAUGUUACAGUUUCAUCGACUUGCUUGAGACUAUUGAUUUUGAAUUGAUAUGGGUUUACACACUACACUGUGCCUGCGAGGUCACUCAUAAUGAAGUAUGGAUUAACAAUGAUGUUUUAAAACAAUGCCAUAUCUUUUGUACAGAUAUCAGGUGUGAUGUCACCGCACCUAAUGCGUUUCAAAUGACGCAAAUGUACAGCGCUACAUCCAGAUUAUUAUAGGCUCUAUUUGAGUGCUGUCUCAAUUCCCAUCAUAAAAGCUAUUGAUUACUCCCUACUUACACUCUCACGCUUGUGCUCAGCCACUGGGAUAUUGGCAUUAAUUUCUCCAAGUCAGUGCCUUCAGUGCUGGUCAUUUGAGGUCUUUCUGAGGUACUGUGGAUGCCUUUUGGUGCUCUUUGAUGUACUUUUUAGGACAUAAAUGGAAAGGUACUGUAGACAAUAAAAAUGGCUAUAUUUAAAUUUGCCCUUGGUUUACGAUUGAUAGUUGUCUCAUAUAAAUCUUAUACUGUAACACUGAAAUUACACUCAUCAUCUUUAAAAUGCACGUCAGUUAACAUAAUAUCUCAGUCUGUUUAUUAUAAACAAGACAAGCCCAGUGAGAGGGCUUGUUUUAUAGCGGCCAAGAACGUCCUGCCCGUGCCAGAGCCACCCCUCCUCGCUCCCGCUGCAAGCUGUUUGCAGGAUGCAGGAUCUGGAGGUAUUCCCUCAGCACUCACCCCAGCUCCAGAGCUGAAACACUACACCACACUGAAGAGGGCAGACACAGACAAGAGUGACUGGGGAAACACAUACAAAAACGGUUUACUAAGCAAGAUGAGGGAGUGUUGUUUUUAGGUUACUACCGUUGGGUUUCUGAUUUUUACUAGUGAUAUAGCAGAAUGCUCAUGUAAUUAUUUUCUGAUUCUCCACAGCAGUUUUAGUAGGUUAUGAGUCACACGGGCCUCUGGCUAUGGCCGCAUUAAACUGCAAAUACAGUGGCGCUAUUAAAAUUUAUUAGAUUAGAGAUCUGUAACUACAACUCUUAUGAAAUGUAUUUAAUUGCCUCCUGGUUUGAACAAAAACAUCUAGAGCUGAAAAUUCUCCUUGCUUAUUUUAAAUUUCAACCAUUCCAAUGACAGUAUCUGCUUAAAUAUGGAGGGCAUUCCUUAUCAAUCCUUUAACAUAAGCUUUCAGUAGCCAAGGAGGAUGAUGUUGAAUAUCUAGCUGUGCGAUGUGUUUUAUUUUGGUUCCAAAUUUUUUUUGUCAGCCAGUGCCCUUAGACAGUACAGGUCCUCCUUAUAUGCAAAGUACACAAAUUGCAUAUACCCUCCGAACCACC
Long non-coding RNA from Cyprinus carpio carpio, 2045 nucleotides. Lineage: Eukaryota; Metazoa; Chordata; Actinopteri; Cypriniformes; Cyprinidae. The record is from Ensembl.